Molecule: ribosomal RNA, 466 nt
Filed under: uncultured bacterium
Lineage: Bacteria
Description: partial 16S ribosomal RNA
Rfam family: Bacterial small subunit ribosomal RNA
Source: RNAcentral
GAUGAACGCUGGCGGCGUGCUUAACACAUGCAAGUCAAACGAUGAAGCUCAGCUUGCUGGGUGGAUUAGUGGCGAACGGGUGAGUAACACGUGAGUAACCUGCCCUUAACUCUGGGAUAAGCCUGGGAAACUAGGUCUAAUACCGGAUAGGAGCGCCUACCGCAUGGUGGGUGUUGGAAAGAUUUAUCGGUUUUGGAUGGACUCGCGGCCUAUCAGCUUGUUGGUGAGGUAAUGGCUCACCAAGGCGACGACGGGUAGCCGGCCUGAGAGGGUGACCGGCCACACUGGGACUGAGACACGGCCCAGACUCCUACGGGAGGCAGCAGUGGGGAAUAUUGCACAAUGGGCGAAAGCCUGAUGCAGCGACGCCGCGUGAGGGAUGACGGCCUUCGGGUUGUAAACCUCUUUCAGUAGGGAAGAAGCGAAAGUGACGGUACCUGCAGAAGAAGCACCGGCUAACUACGUG